ACGGCUCAGUAACACGUAGUCAACAUGCCCAGGGGACGUGGAUAACCUCGGGAAACUGAGGAUAAACCGCGAUAGGCCAAGGUUUCUGGAAUGGACAAUGGCUGAAACCUAUAUGGCCCCUGGAUUGGACUGCGGCCGAUCAGGCUGUUGGUGAGGUAAUGGCCCACCAAACCUGUAACCGGUACGGGCUCUGAGAGGAGGAGCCCGGAGAUGAGCACUGAGACAAGGGCCCAGGCCCUAUGGGGCGCAGCAGGCGCGAAACCUCUGCAAUAGGCGAAAGCUUGGCAGGGUUACUCUGAGUGAUGUCCGCUAAGGGCAUCUUUUGGCACUUCUAAAAAUAGUGUAGAAUAAGGGGUGGGCAAGUCUGGUGUCAGCCGCCGCGGUAAUACCAGCACCCCGAGUGGUCGGGACGAUUAUUGGGCCUAAAGCAUCCGUAGCCGGUUCUGCAAGUCUUCCGUUAAAUCCACCUGCUCAACAGAUGGGCUGCGGAGGAUGCUACAGGGCUAGGAGGCGGGAGAGGCAAGCGGUACUCAGUGGGUAGGGGUAAAAUCCUCUGAUCCACUGAAGACCACCAGUGGCGAAGGCGGCUUGCCAGAACGCGCUCGACGGUGAGGGAUGAAAGCUGGGGGAGCAAACCGGAUUAGAUACCCGGGUAGUCCCAGCUGUAAACGAUGCAGACUCGGUGAAUGGGUUGGCUUCGAGCCAACCCAGUGCCGCAGGGAAGCCGUUAAGUCUGCCGCCUGGGGAGUACGGUCGCAAGACUGAAACUUAAAGGAAUUGGCGGGGGAGCAC
RNAcentral lists this ribosomal RNA (792 nucleotides) under uncultured crenarchaeote. Its description in RNAcentral is "bacterial SSU rRNA". It matches the Rfam family "Archaeal small subunit ribosomal RNA", at positions 85 to 879 of the family's 1478-position model. Lineage: Archaea; Thermoproteati; Thermoproteota. The record is from RNAcentral.